GAAUUUUUUAACGUCAGAUUUUUCGUCCAUAAAUGCCGAACAUAACCCUAAAUCCUGACAAUAAAGGCAAAUGUCAAACGAUAAAGGUAAAUGCAAAAAUAAUUAAAUGUCGACUCGAUAGAUUUUGAUCAAACAAAAUGCCAGUGUGUAGCGCAUGAUCUCAGGACUCCGACAAAGCCAUUAGUUUUCCAAUUGGACCAAUAUCUCCUGAGAGAUAAGACUUUAAAAAUGUUAAAUUUUUACAC
Long non-coding RNA from Bradysia coprophila, 245 nucleotides. NCBI's taxonomy places the organism in Eukaryota, Metazoa, Arthropoda, Insecta, Diptera, Sciaridae. The record is from RefSeq and is a predicted model, not a curated record.